UGUUGUGAAAUGUUGGGUUAAGUCCCGCAACGAGCGCAACCCUUAUCCUUUGUUGCCAGCGGUCCGGCCGGGAACUCAAAGGAGACUGCCAGUGAUAAACUGGAGGAAGGUGGGGAUGACGUCAAGUCAUCAUGGCCCUUACGACCAGGGCUACACACGUGCUACAAUGGCGCAUACAAAGAGAAGCGACCUCGCGAGAGCAAGCGGACCUCAUAAAGUGCGUCGUAGUCCGGAUUGGAGUCUGCAACUCGACUCCAUGAAGUCGGAAUCGCUAGUAAUCGUGGAUCAGAAUGCCACGGUGAAUACGUUCCCGGGCCUUGUACACACCGCCCGUCACACCAUGGGAGUGGGUUGCAAAAGAAGUAGGUAGCUUAACCUUCGGGAGGGCGCUUACCACUUUGUGAUUCAUGACUGGGGUGAAGUCGUAACAAGGUAACCGUAGGGGAACCUGCGGUUGGA
This 459-nucleotide ribosomal RNA is filed under the name Escherichia coli. RNAcentral's name for it is "bacterial SSU rRNA". It matches the Rfam family "Bacterial small subunit ribosomal RNA", at positions 1063 to 1522 of the family's 1533-position model. The record is from RNAcentral. Lineage: Bacteria; Pseudomonadati; Pseudomonadota; Gammaproteobacteria; Enterobacterales; Enterobacteriaceae.